Molecule: long non-coding RNA, 1611 nt
Filed under: Erythranthe guttata (spotted monkey flower)
Lineage: Eukaryota; Viridiplantae; Streptophyta; Magnoliopsida; Lamiales; Phrymaceae
Description: long non-coding RNA (EGUT_LNC003432)
Source: RNAcentral
AACAGGUAGCCGCCCUGCCCUUUCUUCCUCUACAUCGUCGAUCUCUUUCCCCAAAUCUCGGUUUCUUUGCCGAGGAUGAGACCUCCUACUCCACCGCCUCCCCCCAUCUUCACGGCUCUGAUGGACUGCCUCCGUCUGCCUCCUCGUCAUCCACCACGUCGGCACCGUGGCUCCUUUUAUCCUCUCCGGUGGUGAUCUCCAUCUUCCGUGUCGGCAGAGGAAGAAGCGGCAAUUUUUGCGGUGGGUCGACGAGAUGCAAGGGUAAUAUGAAAAAAGGGAGAAUUUUGAUUCUUUCUUAUUCAUUUUUUUAAUUGUUUUUUUUUUAGCCUUUUAACUUUUAAUUGAAUAAUUUGUUUUCUUCGAUUAUCUUUCAAUUGGUAUCAGAGCAUGAUUUUGAAGUCGAUUCAUCUUAGAGCUUAAAAUUAAUUGUUAUAUGUAUAUCUUGUUAUAUAAUUUAAUCGAUUUGUCUUUGUUCCUACAAAUCAAAGAAACGGCAAUUUCGUGACUUUCAUAGCUUAUGUUAAUUGUAUGUUCAUGUUUUCCAUUGUCGUACUUUUAUAUCCCGGUCAAAGUUCUUAAUUUUCUAAAUAAAAUAAAAUAAUAAAUAUAAACUACUGGUGGAUUUAAUAUAUAACGGUAUAUUGCAUGUAUUUGUUAUUUGGAAAUAUUCAUAACAAACUUAAAAUUAUGUCCUUCAAUUUUUAAGUAUAUUCUUUUUCUUCAAAAGGCCCAGGCUACUUGCUACUUGUGUACUAUGAAUACAUCGACAACUUUUCGUUGGACUUGAGAUUAGUUUUGAAAAAGUAAAACAUAAAUCUUAUAUGUUUGUUAUUGUUCUUAUGUUGUAUUGUAUAGUGGACUACGUUAAUUUCAAAGUGGAUUUCGAUAAAUUUAUAGUGGAUUUCGAUAAGUAUAUAUAGUGGUUUUUUUCAAUAAAUUUAUACUAAAUUUCGAUAAGUAUACACAAUGGUUUUCGUGUUUAUAUAGUUGUUUAUAUAGAGUGGUUUUCAUGUUUAUGUUGUUUACACAGAGUAGUUUUCAUGUUUAUACAGCAGUUUAUACAUAGUGGUUUUCAUGUUUAUACGACAGUUUAUACAUAGUGGUUUUCAUGUUUAUAUAGUUGUUUAUACAGAGUGGUUUUCAUUGUUGUUCCCUCAUCCAUUUUUCGUUUCAACAGAUUUAUGCAAUAUUAGUAGGUUAGAAAGAAUUUUUUUAUGAAAGAUUUCCCGGAUUUUGUUCCCACCAACGAUGGUGUGACCCCAAGGUUUGCUUUUGGAAAUUAGUUUUCAUUUUCUAAUUAAUUGUUUUCUUGUUCAGAUUGAUUUAGUGACCCUCGUCGGCCUUGUUGGUGGUGGUGUACUGGUCUUGCACUUUUUCCUGAACAUAGUAGUGGUUUACGUUUCAAAUAGUGGGUUUUCGAAUAUUGAAUUUACUUUUUUUUUGUUUGUUAUUUUUUGAGUUGUGCUAGUAGUAGGUUACAUAUGCUUUAGUGGAUUUCGAUAAGCUUGUUGUGGAUUAUGUUAAUGUUAAAGUGGAUUACGUUAAUUUUACAGUGAUUUUCGAUAACUUUGUAGUAGCUUCCGAUGAGUAUAUAGUAGAUUUUAAUUUUUG